AUCAGCCCUUGAGGGAACUGACAAAGGAAAAAUAGCCAACCAUGCUCUGGUAAAGAUAGCAGCCGUCUCCAACCCUGAAAUCGCCUUCCCUGGCGAGAGGACUGGGCAGUGGCUUGAGAUCAUACAGCGAUUGUGCAUUCAUGACAACCGUGAAAUUCAGCACAGAGGUCUUGUGACAGUGUUUAAUAUGCUGGAUGCUGAUGAACAACUAGCCAAGAAGCUCAUUGAAUGUGAACUGCUGAAAAUCAUGACAUAUGUGGCAAAACUAGAGGACAACCCCAAGAAGCAGGAUGCUAUUAAUGCUGCCCGCGCCUGUCUGUCUAGAGCCAUGGAUAGUGGACUCAUCAAACCAUUUUCAAAUUAAACAGAAAACAAUUCAUUGUGACUUAUGAUUAGAGGCGAAUAGAGAACGAUCUGCUUUCUGGGAAAGUGGAAAGACUGCAAACCAUUUGCAAUAUGUUUUAUUUUUCUACUGAUAAGCAUAGUUCUUUUUAAUAGAUGAUAUGUUUGUGUGGAUGUGGAAUUUGUUAUUUAUUUUACGUGCUCAUUUCAUAUUUUAUAUGCACUUGUGAAGUUUUGAUUCACAGAUAAAAAUCUUUUUUGGAGAAGAUGAAUGGAAUCAAUUUCUUCAUAAUGAUAUUACCACAAUUACCCUUUUUAAUUUAUUUGUGCAAGUAAACCAAUAAAAAUUUACAAUUGAACAGUUUAUUGAACCUUAUUAAAAUAUUGCAAAAAUAAAAA
Long non-coding RNA from Carassius carassius (crucian carp), 741 nucleotides. RefSeq lists it as uncharacterized. NCBI's taxonomy places the organism in Eukaryota, Metazoa, Chordata, Actinopteri, Cypriniformes, Cyprinidae. The record is from RefSeq and is a predicted model, not a curated record. The transcript is spliced from 2 exons.